RNAcentral lists this ribosomal RNA (1437 nucleotides) under uncultured organism. RNAcentral describes it as "SSU rRNA". It matches the Rfam family "Bacterial small subunit ribosomal RNA". The record is from RNAcentral.
GCUUAACACAUGCAAGUCGAGGGGCAGCACAGGUAGCAAUACCGGGUGGCGACCGGCGCACGGGUGAGUAACGCGUAUGCAACUUGCCUAUCAGAGGGGGAUAACCCGGCGAAAGUCGGACUAAUACCGCAUGAAGCAGGGGCCCCGCAUGGGGAUAUUUGCUAAAGAUUCAUCGCUGAUAGAUAGGCAUGCGUUCCAUUAGGCAGUUGGCGGGGUAACGGCCCACCAAACCGACGAUGGAUAGGGGUUCUGAGAGGAAGGUCCCCCACAUUGGUACUGAGACACGGACCAAACUCCUACGGGAGGCAGCAGUGAGGAAUAUUGGUCAAUGGCCGAGAGGCUGAACCAGCCAAGUCGCGUGAGGGAUGAAGGUUCUAUGGAUCGUAAACCUCUUUUAUAAGGGAAUAAAGUGCGGGACGUGUCCCGUUUUGUAUGUACCUUAUGAAUAAGGAUCGGCUAACUCCGUGCCAGCAGCCGCGGUAAUACGGAGGAUCCGAGCGUUAUCCGGAUUUAUUGGGUUUAAAGGGUGCGUAGGCGGCCUUUUAAGUCAGCGGUGAAAGUCUGUGGCUCAACCAUAGAAUUGCCGUUGAAACUGGGGGGCUUGAGUAUGUUUGAGGCAGGCGGAAUGCGUGGUGUAGCGGUGAAAUGCAUAGAUAUCACGCAGAACCCCGAUUGCGAAGGCAGCCUGCCAAGCCAUUACUGACGCUGAUGCACGAAAGCGUGGGGAUCAAACAGGAUUAGAUACCCUGGCAGUCCACGCAGUAAACGAUGAUCACUAGCUGUUUGCGAUACACUGUAAGCGGCACAGCGAAAGCGUUAAGUGAUCCACCUGGGGAGUACGCCGGCAACGGUGAAACUCAAAGGAAUUGACGGGGGCCCGCACAAGCGGAGGAACAUGUGGUUUAAUUCGAUGAUACGCGAGGAACCUUACCCGGGUUUGAACGCAUUCGGACCGAGGUGGAAACACCUUUUCUAGCAAUAGCCGUUUGCGGGGUGCUGCAUGGUUGUCGUCAGCUCGUGCCGUGAGGUGUCGGCUUAAGUGCCAUAACGAGCGCAACCCUUGCCACUAGUUACUAACAGGUAAAGCUGAGGACUCUGGUGGGACUGCCAGCGUAAGCUGCGAGGAAGGCGGGGAUGACGUCAAAUCAGCACGGCCCUUACAUCCGGGGCGACACACGUGUUACAAUGGCGUGGACAAAGGGAAGCCACCUGGCGACAGGGAGCGAAUCCCCAAACCACGUCUCAGUUCGGAUCGGAGUCUGCAACCCGACUCCGUGAAGCUGGAUUCGCUAGUAAUCGCGCAUCAGCCAUGGCGCGGUGAAUACGUUCCCGGGCCUUGUACACACCGCCCGUCAAGCCAUGGGAGCCGGGGGUACCUGAAGUCCGUAACCGCGAGGAUCGGCCUAGGGUAAAACUGGUGACUGGGGCUAAGUCGUA